UACGUAGGGUGCGAGCGUUAAUCGGAAUUACUGGGCGUAAAGCGCACGUAGGCGGCUAUUUAAGUCAGAGGUGAAAUCCCGGGGCUCAACCCCGGAACUGCCUUUGAAACUGCAUAGCUAGAAUCUUGGAGAGGCGAGUGGAAUUCCGAGUGUAGAGGUGAAGUUCGUAGAUAUUCGGAAGAACACCAGUGGCGAAGGCGACUCGCUGGACAAGUAUUGACGCUGAGGUGCGAAAGCAUGGGGAGCAAACAGG
This 253-nucleotide ribosomal RNA is filed under the name uncultured bacterium. Its description in RNAcentral is "partial 16S ribosomal RNA". It matches the Rfam family "Bacterial small subunit ribosomal RNA", at positions 524 to 776 of the family's 1533-position model. The record is from RNAcentral.